GUUUACUGUUCUAUCUCUGUUAUUUUUUCUAGGACUGGAGAGAUUGGAAUUCAAUAUUUUCCUGUUUCCAUCAUGUAUAUUUCUGUGCUACUAUAUACAGUUUAUGGCUUACUCUUUAUGUCCAAGUGUUACUGCUGCAAUUUUCAGAAAGAGAGGCCUUUAGUUACAGAUGUGACAAAGGAUAUUGGGGUAAAUGUGAGCUUACUCUCACUAAAUAGCUUACUGUUGCUGUAGAUAUGAAAAUAGAAUAAACUACUUAUAUCAAUUAUGAUACCAGAUAGAAUUU
This 286-nucleotide unclassified non-coding RNA is filed under the name Hevea brasiliensis (rubber tree). The record is from RNAcentral. Lineage: Eukaryota; Viridiplantae; Streptophyta; Magnoliopsida; Malpighiales; Euphorbiaceae.